UCAAAAUUCCAGUAGAUUCUU
RNAcentral lists this non-coding RNA (21 nucleotides) under Caenorhabditis elegans. Lineage: Eukaryota; Metazoa; Nematoda; Chromadorea; Rhabditida; Rhabditidae. The record is from RNAcentral.